UACGAAGGGGGCUAGCGUUGUUCGGAAUUACUGGGCGUAAAGCGUGCGCAGGCGGCUUCUCAAGUCAGGGGUGAAAGCCCAGAGCUCAACUCUGGAAUUGCCUUUGAGACUGAGUGGCUUGAGUACGAGAGAGGUGAGUGGAAUUCCCAGUGUAGAGGUGAAAUUCGUAGAUAUUGGGAAGAACACCGGUGGCGAAGGCGGCUCACUGGCUCGACACUGACGCUGAGGAGCGAAAGCGUGGGGAGCGAACAGG
RNAcentral lists this ribosomal RNA (253 nucleotides) under uncultured bacterium. RNAcentral describes it as "partial 16S ribosomal RNA". It matches the Rfam family "Bacterial small subunit ribosomal RNA", at positions 524 to 776 of the family's 1533-position model. The record is from RNAcentral.